UAUGAAGGAGGUAAUGUGACACUGUACUGUUUCUCACUAUCUGCAUUAUAUUAUAUGCCCAGUAUAGACUUUUGCAGUGACCUCUAAAUGUAUAGCGAAACUGUAUCUCCUUUGGCCAGCUCUAUCAUCCAGAGGGAUCAAUGAACUCCUACUGAUAUCAGACAACCGGGAGGGGCUACGUUUUUUUUCUUGACCCUUCCUCUCUUAAGUUCACAAGACGGUAAACCUUCAAAGACUGGCCAAUGGAACCAUACAAUAUUUAGCGUACAUGCAGCCCCAGAAACCUCUGCAUGUAAUGGAGUACUGGUUUGGGUGGUUCGAUGUCUGGAGUGAAUCUCACCAUGCAUUUCCAGCAGAGGAUUAUGAUGCUCCGUUAUCCGAGGCUGGAGAUUACACCACCAAGUAUCCGCUCUUGAGGAAUUUAUUCAGCCAGUUUCACAAUUGAGUGCAACAAGCCAGUGGAACUCUGUCCCCCAGAAGCCUUCCUUCCCAGGGUUCUUCCAGGGCAGGCUGUGUGUGGACGGCCAUCCCAGAGACACCUUCAUCCCAGAAACACAAGCAUUUCGCUACACUUGCAUUAACAUCUGCUAACCAUGUGUAUGUGACCAAUACAAUUUGAUUUGAUUUAAUUUAAUUUGAUCAGACUGCCUGUGUGUAAAGUAGCCCAACAGGCUUUGUGGUUAUGAGAGAGAGCACCACCUGUCCAUAUUGUAUCCCUGCUGGCUUAUUCGUAUAGUAUAGUAGACCUAUCUCUGGUUUAUUGGUGUACUGUAUAUUGUUGUAGGCCCAUCCCUCAUCAGACACACAUACAGUAGUGAUAAAAUACGUUCUUAGAAAAACUCUUAACUCUCAGUGUCAAGUCACUGAUUACAGUGUUUCCAGAAACAGGGUUGGAGUAAAGGAGUGGUCUUUAUCAACGGGCAGAAUCUUGGACGUCACAGGUCUGUCGUUCCCCAGCAAACCCUUUACCUCCCUGGACCUUGGCUUAAAAGUGGAAAUAAUCAAGUACAACUGAAAAAAUCUCCUAUAACUUCCAAGAGAUAUAUCAUUCUAGUCUUCUGAGGUGUUUUCAGAAGUUGUUCUCAUGUUUACAGUGUCAUGUAUUCUUAUACAUUUCUUAUCAGCCUUCAUUUGUACAGUUUAUCCUCAAAUCCAGACACUGAUACAGGCUAGAAUAGUUUGUUAAAUGGAUCUGUGUUUUCUUUGUUUUCAUUCUUUUAGAUCUUCGUGUUCGAGAAACAUAAAGAUGAUGAUAAAUUUGUUUUUGUUGAAAAUCCUGAUCAUGGAAAAACAUUUGAUGUAUACAAACAUCCAUUUUGUGUUUUGCUUUGAAAUUAUCAAUAUUUAAAAUAAAACAAUGACACAGCAAGUUAUUAUAAUAUAGUAAUAACAUGGUAAAAUACAAAGCUAUGAUUACCGUAACACGCUGUAUGUAUGUAAUGUUGUUUUUGUGUUAUGGGAUGGGUCUACCACUGAAUGUGAUAAUAGACAUGUAUUUAUAUGUAGCCUAGAACCCAGUCAUAAGGCAAGUUACAUACAUGGAAAAACAAGACAUUUAGUGGCAGAAUGCAGACUAUUACAACGAAGAAAGGUGAGAUGGAAGAGAUAAAGGACAACAAAGUUCAAAGGUCCUCAAGGUCAAAUGCAGGUGUGUGAAACAUUCCAGUUUCAGUGCCUCACUAGCUGUCCGGAUAGGCAGUGUUAUUGUCAUUCUAAAUUGAAAUAUAGAUAAAUAAACAAAGAUAAUUCGUAAAAAUCCAAAUAACUUCACAGAUUGUAAAGAGUUUAAACACUGUUUCCCAUGCUUGUUCAAUGAACCCUAAACAAUGAAUGAACAUGCACCUGUGGA
This is a non-coding RNA of Oncorhynchus mykiss (rainbow trout), 1849 nucleotides long. Lineage: Eukaryota; Metazoa; Chordata; Actinopteri; Salmoniformes; Salmonidae. The record is from RefSeq and is a predicted model, not a curated record.